This 378-nucleotide unclassified non-coding RNA is filed under the name plant metagenome. RNAcentral's name for it is "partial contains 5.8S ribosomal RNA, internal transcribed spacer 2, and large subunit ribosomal RNA". The stretch from base 1 to 105 matches the Rfam family "5.8S ribosomal RNA", at positions 50 to 154 of the family's 154-position model. The record is from RNAcentral.
GAAAUGCGAUAAGUAAUGUGAAUCACAGAAUUCAGUGAAUCAUCGAAUCUUUGAACGCACCUUGCGCUCCUUGGUAUUCCUUGGAGCAUGCCUGUUUGAGUAUCAUGAAAUCUUCAAAGUAAAUCUUUUGUUAACUCAAUUGGUUUCUACUUUGGUAUUGGAGGUCUUUGCAGCUUCACACCUGCUCCUCUUUGUUCAUUAGCUGGAUCUCAGUGUUAUGCUUGGUUCCACUCGGCGUGAUAAGUUAUCUAUCGCUGAGGACACUGUAAAAGGUGGCCAAGGUAAAUGCAGAUGAACCGCUUCUAAUAGUCCAUUGACUUGGACAAUACUUUUAUGAUCUGAUCUCAAAUCAGGUAGGACUACCCGCUGAACUUAAGC